RNAcentral lists this ribosomal RNA (375 nucleotides) under uncultured bacterium. RNAcentral describes it as "bacterial SSU rRNA". It matches the Rfam family "Bacterial small subunit ribosomal RNA", at positions 523 to 898 of the family's 1533-position model. The record is from RNAcentral.
AUACGUAGGGGGCAAGCGUUGUCCGGAUUUAUUGGGCGUAAAGCGCGCGCAGGCGGCUCUUUAAGUCAGGUGUGAAAGGCUGCGGCUCAACCGCAGAGCUGCACCUGAAACUGGAGAGCUUGAGUACAGGAGAGGAGAGUGGAAUUCCCGGUGUAGCGGUGGAAUGCGUAGAGAUCGGGAGGAACACCAGUGGCGAAGGCGACUCUCUGGACUGUAACUGACGCUGAGGCGCGAAAGCGUGGGGAGCGAACAGGAUUAGAUACCCUGGUAGUCCACGCCGUAAACGAUGAGUGCUAGGUGUUGGGGAUUUCCCUCCUCAGUGCCGAAGUUAACACAUUAAGCACUCCGCCUGGGGAGUACGGCCGCAAGGCUGAA